CCUACGGGAUGCAGCAGUGAGGAAUAUUGGUCAAUGGGCGGGAGCCUGAACCAGCCAAGCCGCGUGAGGGAAGACGGUACAGCGUAUCGUAAACCUCUUUUGUCAGGGAACAAAGGCGUGGACUAGUCCCCGGAUGAGGGUACCUGAAGAAAAAGCAUCGGCUAACUCCGUGCCAGCAGCCGCGGUAAUACGGAGGAUGCGAGCGUUAUCCGGAUUUGUUGGGUUUAAAGGGUGCGCAGGUGGCCUGUUAAGUCAGCGGUAAAAGCCCGGGGCUAAACCCCGGCGAGCCGUUGAAACUGGGAGGCUGGAGUUCGAGAGAAGUACGCGGAAUGCGCGGUGUAGCGGGGAAAUGCUUAGAUAUCGCGCAGAACCCCGAUUGCGAAGGCAGCGUACCGGCUCCACACUGACGCUGAGGCACGAAAGCGUGGGUAUCGAACAGGAUUAGAUACCCCUGUAGUC
This 459-nucleotide ribosomal RNA is filed under the name uncultured bacterium. RNAcentral describes it as "partial 16S ribosomal RNA". It matches the Rfam family "Bacterial small subunit ribosomal RNA", at positions 338 to 795 of the family's 1533-position model. The record is from RNAcentral.